This 658-nucleotide ribosomal RNA is filed under the name uncultured bacterium. Its description in RNAcentral is "bacterial SSU rRNA". It matches the Rfam family "Bacterial small subunit ribosomal RNA", at positions 840 to 1502 of the family's 1533-position model. The record is from RNAcentral.
UUAGUGGCGCAGCUAACGCAUUAAGUCGACCGCCUGGGGAGUACGGCCGCAAGGUUAAAACUCAAAGGAAUUGACGGGGACCCGCACAAGCGGUGGAUGAUGUGGUUUAAUUCGAUGCAACGCGAAAAACCUUACCCACCUUUGACAUGGCAGGAAUCCUUUAGAGAUAGAGGAGUGCUCGAAAGGGAACCUGCACACAGGUGCUGCAUGGCUGUCGUCAGCUCGUGUCGUGAGAUGUUGGGUUAAGUCCCGCAACGAGCGCAACCCUUGUCAUUAGUUGCUACGAAAGGGCACUCUAAUGAGACUGCCGGUGACAAACCGGAGGAAGGUGGGGAUGACGUCAAGUCCUCAUGGCCCUUAUAGGUGGGGCUACACACGUCAUACAAUGGCCGGUACAAAGGGCAGCCAACCCGCGAGGGGGAGCCAAUCCCAUAAAGCCGGUCGUAGUCCGGAUCGCAGUCUGCAACUCGACUGCGUGAAGUCGGAAUCGCUAGUAAUCGUGGAUCAGCAUGUCACGGUGAAUACGUUCCCGGGUCUUGUACACACCGCCCGUCACACCAUGGGAGCGGGUCUCGCCAGAAGUAGUUAGCCUAACCGCAAGGAGGGCGAUUACCACGGCGGGGUUCGUGACUGGGGUGAAGUCGUAACAAGGUAACCA